RNAcentral lists this small nuclear RNA (63 nucleotides) under Mandrillus leucophaeus (drill). Its description in RNAcentral is "U7 small nuclear RNA (ENSMLEG00000007922.1)". It matches the Rfam family "U7 small nuclear RNA". From Rfam's summary of the family: Animal histone pre-mRNAs are spliced by a different mechanism than nuclear pre-mRNAs and self-splicing introns. This processing involves the U7 snRNP, which contains only one RNA species: U7. The 5' end of U7 RNA is thought to base-pair to a conserved spacer element downstream of the cleavage site in histone pre-mRNA. Lineage: Eukaryota; Metazoa; Chordata; Mammalia; Primates; Cercopithecidae. The record is from Rfam by way of RNAcentral.
CAGUGAGACUAGCUCUUUUAGAAUUUUUCUAGCAGGCUUUCUGGUCUUUACCGGAAAGCCUAU